Molecule: non-coding RNA, 27 nt
Filed under: Rattus norvegicus (Norway rat)
Lineage: Eukaryota; Metazoa; Chordata; Mammalia; Rodentia; Muridae
Source: RNAcentral
UAGCUAGAGCUAUGCGGCAGGCCAAGC